CAGUCUGGAGGAAGGGAGGCCCAGGGAAGACCUUAUCACUCUCUACAACUGUUUGAAAGGAAGCUGAAGUGAGCUGGGUGCUGAUCUCUUCUCCUUGGUAACAGUGAUAGCAGGAGAGAGAAACGUGCAUGCUAACCACAGGCAGAGCUGGACCUUAAAAACUUUAAGUGCUGGACAGAGCAAACAUGUGGGACACUCUGGGACAAAGCAAGUGGUGAAGAGAUAUGCACAAAUCCACCCUACUGCAGAUCUGGAACAAAAUGUGUCCACUCUAUUGAGCAGACCAUGCCUGGAUAGGUUAUGUUGCUCAUGUGAAAGAGACAGCAACAUUCUUGCUGAGCAGCCAUCUCCUGAAUUAGGCCAAGCAGGAGAAGGACAUGAAAAGAACUAAAAGGAUCAAUGCAGAAGGUGACAAGAACAUUCAUCAAAGCUGCCACAGUAUCAAGGAUCAGAAGGCCCAGAUCCCAGCUUGAUCCUGUUAGCAGAGGAAAACUGGGAGAAAGGCACCAUCCCACUGAGUCUGAUGCACAGUCUCCAGGUAGAAUAAUUGGUUCCCUUCAAAUGACCACCACGUACAUAAAUUUCCUUUGUACCAAA
Molecule: long non-coding RNA, 597 nt
Organism: Gallus gallus (chicken)
Lineage: Eukaryota; Metazoa; Chordata; Aves; Galliformes; Phasianidae
Exons: 2
Source: RefSeq, a predicted model, not a curated record